UCAGUUGUCUUAUAAUUGAAGACUGGAAUGAAUGGUUAAACGAAAUUAGAGCUGUUUCAUUUGUAUUUAUUAGAAAUUGGCUUUUAAAUGAAGAGAUUUAAAUUUGAUUAAGGGACAAGAAGACCCUAUUGAGCUUUAAAUAAUUUUGAGGGUUAAAGUUAUUAUAAAGAUCUAUGAUCUUUAGUAUUUUUUUAGUUGGGGCGACUAAGGAACAGGAGAAGCUUCCUUUAUUUAUUUAAUUGAUAAAUUUUGAUCCUGUAUUACUGAUUAAGAGAGAUAGUUACCAUAGGGAUAACAGCAUAAUCUUCUUGGAGAGUUCUUAUUAAAAAGGGGGGUUGUGACCUCGAUGUUGGACUAAAAUAUCCUAAGGGUGUA
Molecule: ribosomal RNA, 375 nt
Filed under: Cipangopaludina chinensis laeta
Lineage: Eukaryota; Metazoa; Mollusca; Gastropoda; Architaenioglossa; Viviparidae
Description: partial 16S rRNA
Source: RNAcentral